UGGCGGAGUAGAUCGGUGGUAGCUCAUCAGGCUCAUAAUCUGAAAGUCGCUGGUUCAAAUCCAGCCUCCGCAA
RNAcentral lists this transfer RNA (73 nucleotides) under Oscillospiraceae bacterium. RNAcentral describes it as "tRNA-Met". It matches the Rfam family "tRNA". Rfam says of the family: Transfer RNA (tRNA) molecules are approximately 80 nucleotides in length. Their secondary structure includes four short double-helical elements and three loops (D, anti-codon, and T loops). Further hydrogen bonds mediate the characteristic L-shaped molecular structure. tRNAs have two regions of fundamental functional importance: the anti-codon, which is responsible for specific mRNA codon recognition, and the 3' end, to which the tRNAs corresponding amino acid is attached (by aminoacyl-tRNA synthetases). tRNAs cope with the degeneracy of the genetic code in two manners: having more than one tRNA (with a specific anti-codon) for a particular amino acid; and 'wobble' base-pairing, i.e. permitting non-standard base-pairing at the 3rd anti-codon position. The record is from RNAcentral. Lineage: Bacteria; Bacillati; Bacillota; Clostridia; Eubacteriales; Oscillospiraceae.